This 289-nucleotide ribosomal RNA is filed under the name uncultured cyanobacterium. RNAcentral's name for it is "partial 16S ribosomal RNA". Lineage: Bacteria; Bacillati; Cyanobacteriota. The record is from RNAcentral.
CUACUGGGGUUUCUAAUCCCUUUCGCUACCCUAGCUUUCGUCCCUGAGUGUCAGUUACGGCCCAGUUGAGCGCCUUCGCCACUGGUGUUCUUCCCAAUAUCUACGCAUUUCACCGCUACACUGGGAAUUCCCUCAACCCCUACCGUACUCUAGUUAACCAGUUUCCACUGCCUCUCAGAAGUUGAGCUUCUGUCUUUAACAGCAGACACGAUUAACCACCUGCGGACGCUUUACGCCCAAUGAUUCCGGAUAACGCUUGCAUCCUCCGUAUUACCGCGGCUGCUGGCAC